GCCAGCAGCUCUAUCACCUGCAACUCACAGCUGGCAGCCCACUGAAGCUCAGCAGGUGUGAGCCUGGUCAGUACCUGGAUGGGAGACUCCUGGGAAAGCUAAGGUUGCUGCUGGAA
Ribosomal RNA from Lepisosteus oculatus (spotted gar), 116 nucleotides. NCBI's taxonomy places the organism in Eukaryota, Metazoa, Chordata, Actinopteri, Semionotiformes, Lepisosteidae. The record is from Ensembl.